RNAcentral lists this transfer RNA (61 nucleotides) under Lacticaseibacillus paracasei subsp. paracasei Lpp41. Its description in RNAcentral is "Lactobacillus paracasei subsp. paracasei Lpp41 tRNA-Asp". It matches the Rfam family "tRNA", at positions 7 to 64 of the family's 71-position model. Rfam says of the family: Transfer RNA (tRNA) molecules are approximately 80 nucleotides in length. Their secondary structure includes four short double-helical elements and three loops (D, anti-codon, and T loops). The record is from RNAcentral. Lineage: Bacteria; Bacillati; Bacillota; Bacilli; Lactobacillales; Lactobacillaceae.
AUGGUCUAGUUGGUUAGGACGCCUGCCUGUCACGCAGGAGAUCACGGGUUCGAGUCCCGUU